UGGGGAAUUUUGCACAAUGGGGGAAACCCUGAUGCAGCGUCGCCGCGUGAUUUAGAAGGCCUUCGGGUUGUAAAAAUCUUUUCUAUGGGAAGAAAAUGACAGUACCAUAGGAAUAAGGACCGGCUAAUUACGUGCCAGCAGCCGCGGUAAUACGUAAGGUCCGAGCGUUGUCCGGAAUCAUUGGGCGUAAAGGGUACGUAGGCGGGUAAGCAAGUUAGAAGUGAAAUCCUGUAGCUCAACUACAGUAAGCUUUUAAAACUGCUCAUCUUGAGAUAUGGAAGGGAAAGUGGAAUUCCUAGUGUAGCGGUGAAAUGCGCAGAUAUUAGGAGGAAUACCGGUGGCGAAGGCGACUUUCUGGCCAUAAUCUGACGCUGAGGUACGAAAGCGUGGGUAGCAAACAGG
Molecule: ribosomal RNA, 402 nt
Filed under: Verrucomicrobiota bacterium
Lineage: Bacteria; Pseudomonadati; Verrucomicrobiota
Description: Verrucomicrobia bacterium partial 16S ribosomal RNA
Rfam family: Bacterial small subunit ribosomal RNA
Source: RNAcentral